GGUGUGGCCAAGAGUAACCGGACAAGGCCGCGGAUGAUGGCCGUGACCAGAAAUGGACCGUGGUAAGGGAAAAGCACCAUGAGGACCGCGGCCAUGGGAAGAUGUGUGGUGAUUGGGUUGAUUCUGAAAAUUGUGUAAUUAUUGUCGCCUAUUGUGCAACCUGUGAACUUAUGUGAUUCUAGUGUGUGAUCUAUUUAUUAGGAUGAUGAAUUAUGUAUGAACCUUGGUUAUUAUCUAUGAAAUAUCUAUUUGCCCUAGUC
Molecule: long non-coding RNA, 260 nt
Filed under: Brassica napus (rape)
Lineage: Eukaryota; Viridiplantae; Streptophyta; Magnoliopsida; Brassicales; Brassicaceae
Description: long non-coding RNA (BNAP_LNC009600)
Source: RNAcentral